Non-coding RNA from Ictidomys tridecemlineatus (thirteen-lined ground squirrel), 2305 nucleotides. The record is from RefSeq and is a predicted model, not a curated record. NCBI's taxonomy places the organism in Eukaryota, Metazoa, Chordata, Mammalia, Rodentia, Sciuridae.
AUUCCAUCAGUGGGAGAAUGGAUAUACAAAUCAUAGAAAGUUAAUAAAAUGACAAAAUACAAUAUUAAGCAGUGAAAUACUGUUCCAUUCACCAACAUGGAUGAAACUCAAACAAUACUACAUGAGUGAAAGAAGUCAGAUACAAAAGAUCACCUUGUGUGUGAUUCCAUCUAUGGAAAGUCCAAGAACAAUUAGAAUUACUGACAGUGAUUAGGAUGGUGGCAGCCUCUAGGGUUGGGGAUUGAGGAUAUGAAAGAUGUAAUAGGCACAAGGGAAAUUUCUAUCAUGAAAACAAGUAGUGACCUAGACUGGGGUGUUAGUUUCAUGGGUGUAACCUGCCACAAGUUGACAAAUAAUAUACUUAAGAUAUGUGAAUACCAAUGUGUAUAUUGAACUUUAAAGUGUUUCAUAAUUGAAAAAAAAACAAACUAAAAAUAGAGAAAAGUAAAGCCACUAAGGCAAAAAGUACAUUAAAAAAAUUAUUCAUUCUUCACUUGAAUCAGCUUCAUUGUUGUCCUGUUUAAAAUUUGUCAUAUGUGUGCAGGUAGGUUCCGGGUGGAACACUAUGGGGUUCUCAGCAAUGUGUUGUAGUCUGUUGUAGCUAUAGCUACCCAGUGGAACUCUGUGGGGGACAUCAGUGCCACAGAGGUAAUGUGAAUAAUCAUAGACCUUGGCUUUCAGUUAAUGAUGGGGAAUUCACUAGAAGUGGUAGCAGAGCUACUUCCAGAUGACACGAGGCCUAGCCUUGUCUAUAGUAGCCUCCAAAAGGAGUCAGUGAUGUGGGUUUCUUUCAUUGGAUUUUUGCUCUGAUCCAAAGUAAUUUUGAUAUUGAGUCAUCUUUAGAAGAUACCAGCCUUAAAGAAAGAGUCAUCAAAAAUACGGAGCCUGAUGGACACACAGGGAAAGUUGAAGAGGACCAACUUAAUCCUAAAGGAAGAAAUAACUUCUCUAGUAAAAGAAGAAAAUCUAGAGAGAUGCAGACACUCAAUGCAAGUGGAGAUCUUCUGAUCAGUCACCAGAAGAUAACUUAGGAGUCACCCUAUUACAAGGUUUCCCAAACACCGAAGUGGCUGGGAGCCUGGGACCUUCUGCACCUCACCAAAAUUCUGAAAGAAGAUCUCUUCAUUUUCCUCCACUUAGAACUUUGUGCUACCUUGUCUGUUCAUCAGUUGUCUGUGCUUCUGGGAAGAACUUAAGAGUUCUCUGCACUCUUCAUGCCCUGGAGUUCAUUUGUCCACCAUCACAUUCUGAAAUUGGAUCUGAGUAGUUUUCAGGGUUAAUUCAAACUUCAAAUGAGCCAACUAUUGGACAUUCAGAAAUGAAUCAAGAAAUUUGGAACUUUUUAAAAAAUUGUCUCUCUUCAAAGGGAAUUUUAAUCUCAUUCAUUAUUUUAAGAACUGAUGGUACUUGAGGAAACAGACUUGUGCUCAAAAUAAAGCUGGAUGGAGCAUAGUUCAGCAUAAUAUUUUGUAAUGUUAUUUUUAGAUAAAUUAUAUAAACAAAUUAUUAUAUUUUAUUUGUAUCUCUAUACCUUAUAUAUUGUAUUUUGUUUAAUAUCUACAGUGUAGCAAAAAAAAGACAUUUAAAAUGCAAUGGUAAUUUUUGUUUGACUAGAUCUGUAUUUACUUCAGCUAUACAUAAGUGAAAAGUGAUUUUUUUCUCCUUAAUAAAUAGUUGCUUAGUUAAAAAAUAUUAAAUGAACACAGCAUAUAUCCUAACCGUGGGUUAUUGUAAAGUGAUAUAGAGGGCAUUUUAUAGCAUGUAAUAUAUCCAGUUGAUAAAAAUAGCAUAAAGGUCUGUAUUCAAUAAGAAUAAAGGCUAAAAUAGACAAAGAACAAGACCCCUAAUUUAUAGUGCUUUUACAGAAGCUUUUAAUAAUCCCAUUUACCAAUAUAUUUAAUUUAGAACCUCUAGACAUUGAACUAGGUAUCAGCAUAUUGUAAAACUCUCUUGUUCAUCUUCAUGUGUGGCCAAAUUUAAGGACCACUGAUGGUUUGCAGAUCAUUAUAACGUAACUUAUUUCAUCCAAACCCAUGUAAAACCUACCUUACAGCUAUUUUGUCUUAAUUAUAUACAGAAUACAUCAAAACAAAAAAAUUCCACAUAAAUAAAAUACAAAAAGCAUUGUUAACAAAGUAUUUCCUUAUAAAUUGAUAAAUAAUGAGAUAAUAUGAUAUAAUAGAAGAUCAAACUGUGAUUAGGAGAUAUACUUAUGAAUCUAUUAGUAAAUUAGCUGGUAUGGAAUGAUUUGAUUCUUAUUUCAACUUCAGUUUCAUUAUUUAUAAAAUAAAAGAUUGCAUAUAAA